This 574-nucleotide long non-coding RNA is filed under the name Trifolium pratense (red clover). Its description in RNAcentral is "long non-coding RNA (TPRA_LNC012951)". The record is from RNAcentral. Lineage: Eukaryota; Viridiplantae; Streptophyta; Magnoliopsida; Fabales; Fabaceae.
UUUUUCUAAUAUUAUUUAGAUAUUAUAAUUGGAAUAAAAAAAGAAAUUAUUAUUACAUUAAAAGUUAAAAUGACACUCAUUUUAAAACUAUUUUUAUUUCUUGCAAAUACGACACUCACAAUGAGUGAGAGAUCAAGUAAUAUAAUAUUCAACCACACUUAGAUGAAAUGAUUCAAAUCUCUUUAAACUCAACUAGCGGAUCCUAUGUUUAAAUCCAACAAUAACAUUAGAGGUGUUCUAAAACUCCCUUUAAUAGAGAGUUUUGUCGCCUAUUAUGAUCUUACAUAGACUCAAAAAAUUAUUCUCUAAAAUAAAAUACAUAUAAAAUAAUAAAUAAUAAUAAUAAUCAAAACAGAAAAGUGAGAUUCGAAGAGGGAACAAAAAAGGCAUAAAUAUUUUGUUUUUUGCUUAAAGAAGAGGCAAACCAAAAAGCUUAAAUAAAUUGAAUAAUGGAUAGUCUAUCUAGCUAGUUGCUAUAAUUGUGUGCAUAUCUGAGAAGGAGAUCACUUCAAUUUUUGGGUUAUUGCUAAAGCCGGCUAGAGAAUCAGCAAUGACUCUUCAAGGUAAGUUCAAG